GAUGAACGCUAGCGGCAGGCCUAACACAUGCAAGUCGAGGGGCAGCAGGAUGGUAAGUUUACUUAUUAUGGAUGGCGACCGGCGGACGGGUGCGUAACGCGUAUGCAACCUACCCGUAACUGGGGGAUAAUCUGGAGAAAUCUGGUCUAAUAUCCCAUAAUACUUUGGAUGGCAUCAUUUGAAGUUGAAAGCUCAGGCGGUUACGGAUGGGCAUGCGUUGUAUUAGGUAGUUGGUGAGGUAAUGGCUCACCAAGCCUACGAUACAUAGGGGGACUGAGAGGUUAGCCCCCCACACUGGUACUGAGACACGGACCAGACUCCUACGGGAGGCAGCAGUGAGGAAUAUUGGUCAAUGGACGCAAGUCUGAACCAGCCAUGCCGCGUGCAGGAAGACGGCUCUAUGAGUUGUAAACUGCUUUUGUACUAGGGUAAAUGCGGAUACGUGUAUCCGUUUGAAAGUAUAGUACGAAUAAGGAUCGGCUAACUCCGUGCCAGCAGCCGCGGUAAUACKGAGGAUCCAAGCGUUAUCCGGAUUUAUUGGGWUUAAAGGGUGCGUAGGCGGCUAUUUAAGUUAGAGUGAAAUCUCACGGCUCAACCGUGAAACUGCCUCUGAUACUGGAUAGCUAGCAAUUAGAUGCGGUAGGCGGAAUGUGUGGUGUAGCGGUGAAAUGCUUAGAGAUCACACAGAACACCGAUUGCGAAGGCAGCUUACCAAUCUAUUUUGGACGCUGAGGCACGAAAGCGUGGGGAGCAAACAGGAUUAGAUACCCUGGUAGUCCACGCUGUAAACGAUGAUAACUCGUUGUCGGCGAUAUACAGUCGGUGACCAAGCGAAAGCGAUAAGUUAUCCACCUGGGGAGUACGUUCGCAAGAAUGAAACUCAAAGGAAUUGACGGGGGCCCGCACAAGCGGAGGAACAUGUGGUUUAAUUCGAUGAUACGCGAGGAACCUUACCCGGGCUUGAAAGUUAGUGACGAUUCUGGAAACAGGAUUUCCCUUCGGGGCACGAAACUAGGUGCUGCAUGGUUGUCGUCAGCUCGUGCCGUGAGGUGUCGGGUUAAGUCCCAUAACGAGCGCAACCCCUAUCGUUAGUUACCAGCGAGUUAAGUCGGGGACUCUAACGAGACUGCCUGUGUAAGCAGAGAGGAAGGUGGGGAUGACGUCAAAUCAGCACGGCCCUUACGUCCGGGGCGACACACGUGUUACAAUGGUCGGUACAGAGGGCAGCUACUUGGUGACAGGAUGCGAAUCUCGAAAGCCGAUCUCAGUUCGGAUUGGAGGCUGAAACCCGCCUCCAUGAAGUUGGAUUCGCUAGUAAUCGCGCAUCAGCCAUGGCGCGGUGAAUACGUUCCCGGGCCUUGUACACACCGCCCGUCAAGCCAUGGGAGUCGGGGGUGCCUGAAGUACGUGACCGCAAGGAGCGUCCUAGGGCAAAACUGAUGACUGGGGC
RNAcentral lists this ribosomal RNA (1450 nucleotides) under uncultured Rikenellaceae bacterium. Its description in RNAcentral is "16S ribosomal RNA". It matches the Rfam family "Bacterial small subunit ribosomal RNA". The record is from RNAcentral. Lineage: Bacteria; Pseudomonadati; Bacteroidota; Bacteroidia; Bacteroidales; Rikenellaceae.